AUUCUAGGAAGUCUUGGGCAUUAAAUUAUCAACAUUGUGACUAAGACUCUCUUUCCUAAAAUAGUACCUGUUCCUAGAGAAUAUAUUCUUCCUCGAAACAGAUUAUGGGAUUGUUCUUGAGGGCUGGCCAUUGGGAUAAUCACACAUAUAACACUGGUUUAUGAUAAGACUUGGGGUAAUUCAUUGAUAAUGUUCUCUUGCGAUCUGCUUCCUUAAGCUUCUCUCCCCAUCCGUUCGCACCAACUCAUCAGACAAAACGAUUCCUGUUUGGAUUUGCUCUCCUGUUAAUUUUUUACUCUUUUUUAAAUAAUAUUGUAUGACAUUUGGAACAUAUUGAAGUCUGUAAUAGGUAGUACGUUAGUGUAGAGGGAUAUUCUACUUUUCGUGUGCAGAGUUGGCUUUUAGUGCUUAUGGGGACUUCAAGCCUUAAAACAUCAGGAUCACAACUUGGUAUUGCUGACCAGUUCUCCGAUGCUGUGAGGGUGAAAAAAGAAUGCUCUCAGCACUUCGUUGAGUGUGACAUGAUUACAAAUGAUGGCUCACAAAGUCCAGAAUGUAUAUAAGCAUGCCCUCAGCCUUGUCCCUGCAAAUGUGUGUGAUAGCUUCUACUUAAACUCUCUAAGUCUAAUGGAGUCUUACCUUAAGGCACAUGGUGGUUUUUUGAUUACCAUGAUGACACGAAAGGGAUAUUUUCUUUUGUUAUCCCAGUGUGUGACAAUGUGUAUACAAGUUUUAAGAUGAUACAAACAAAUAUUUGCUGUGGAUAGCUAACCUCUGGCUAAUUAGCAGACCGAUCUUAAGAGUUACUCAGCAUAGUCUAACACUGAAUCUUGCAAAGAAUAGACAAUUUACCUGCCCUGUAAUUUGUUUGACAGAAUCGUUUCUACACUCAAAAUAUAAAUAACACUGGAUAUUUAAUAGUCCUACUUUAGUAACUAAGAUAUUUUUAAAAGGUCUGUUAGCUAAAAGAAAUAUUUCUCUCUCUCUCUCUCUUUUUUAAUCAUUUGUCUUUUUAGGGCUGUACCAGUGGCAAAUGGAGGUUCCCAGGCUGGGGAUCUAAUUGGAGCUGUAGCUACUGGCCUACACCACACAGCAGUGGGAUCUGAGCUGCCUCUGCAACCUACAGCAGAGCUCUGGGUUAAGGAUCCAGCAUUGCUGUGAGCUGUGGUGUAGGUCGCAGAUGCAGCUCGGAUCUGGAGUUGCUGUGGCUGUGAUAUAGUUCCAUCUCGACCCCUAGCCUAGGAGCUUCCUUAUGCAGCACAUGCAGUCCUAAAAAGCAAAAAAAAAAAAAAAAAAAAAAAAAAAAAGAGAGAGAGAGAGAGAGAGAAGAAGAAUGGAUAAUGUAAUCCUAUUCUUUGUAAGAAAAAGAUUUGAAUUUGAUAAGGCCCGAAUUUGGCUUCCUGUGUUUAGAUUGUUAUAACAUUGGAAAUAGGCCUAUAUUUCAGAAACAAACUAUUUGGUUAGAAGGUGAUUUGAAGGCAUCAAUUUAAGGGAUAUUUUGUAGAAAGAAUAGUUAUCUCUGAAAAGGAUAAAAGAACAGCUCUAUUUUUAAUACUAGUUUUAAAACAGAGUAAAGGGAAAAUAUUUUUAAAAGAUACAUCAAUUAUGAAAAGACAGUGGUUCUAAGAGUAACAAGGGAAUCAACGAUAAACACUUUAAUGUUUUUUCAAUUAAUAAAUUAGGCUGACAAUUAAAUGUAUUAUUUAUGUGCUAUAUGUUUCUUUAUGUAUGAGAUCCCAAUAAUAGUUACAUCCCAAGGAUUGGUUGUGCCACAUUGUUUUCUCAGGACCGCCCAUCAUUAUAGCAUGUCAAUCAGUAACCUUUUUUCUGAGUUGAAAUAAAAAUACCAAUCUCCAACCCAAUGAUCAUCAUUGUGGUCCCCUAUAAAAAAUGAGAAGCUUUUAAAUAUUUCUGAAAAUGUGUUGAUGCUGAUACCAGAUAACAUCAGAUCUGCGCUAGAUUUUUUUUUUAUAAUACUUUUUCCUUAUGUAGAUGUGCACUUUGGAAAACUUAGAAAUUGAAAGAGAAAAAAGAAAAUCAUGACGUUCCCUUCAUGGCUCAGUGGUUAAGGAACUCAACUAGUAACCAUGAGGUUGAGGGUUCAAUCCCUGGCUUUGCUCAGUGGGUUAAGGAUCCGCGUUGCAGUGAGCUGUGGUAUAGGUCGCAGACAUGGCUCGGAUCCCACGUUGCUGUGGCUGUGGUGCAGGCCAGCAGCUUUAGCUCCGAUUGGACCCCUAGGCUGGGAACCUCCAUAUGCUGUGGGUGCAGCCCUAAAAAGACAAAAGACAACAACAACAGCAACAAAAAA
Molecule: long non-coding RNA, 2308 nt
Filed under: Sus scrofa (pig)
Lineage: Eukaryota; Metazoa; Chordata; Mammalia; Artiodactyla; Suidae
Description: lncRNA (ENSSSCG00055007113.1)
Source: RNAcentral